GAUAGAAUUUGAUCAUGGCUCAGGACGAACGCUGGCGGCGUGCUUAACACAUGCAAGUCGAACGGAGAUUCAGCAAUGGAUCUUAGUGGCGAACGGGUGAGUAACGCGUAGGCAAUCUGCCUUCUAGAUGGGGACAACAUCCCGAAAGGGGUGCUAAUACCGAAUGUUGUAGUUGGUCUGCAUGGACUAGCUACUAAAGGUGGCCUCUGAAUAUGCUACCGCUAGAAGAUGAGCCUGCGUCUGAUUAGCUAGUUGGAGGGGUAACGGCCCACCAAGGCUUCGAUCAGUAGCCGGUCUGAGAGGAUGAACGGCCACACUGGGACUGAGACACGGCCCAGACUCCUACGGGAGGCAGCAGUGGGGAAUCUUCCGCAAUGGACGAAAGUCUGACGGAGCAACGCCGCGUGAGUGAAGAAGGUUUUCGGAUCGUAAAGCUCUUUCGUCAGGGACGAACGUAUUUUUUGUAAAUAAUGAGAGAUAGUGACGGUACCUGAAUAAGAAGCCACGGCUAACUACGUGCCAGCAGCCGCGGUAAUACGUAGGUGGCAAGCGUUGUCCGGAAUUAUUGGGCGUAAAGCGCGCGCAGGCGGGAUAUCAAGUCUGUCUUAAAAGUGCGAGGCUCAACCUCGUGAGGGGACAGAAACUGGUAUUCUUGAGUGUCGGAGAGGAAAGUGGAAUUCCAAGUGUAGCGGUGAAAUGCGUAGAGAUUUGGAAGAACACCAGUGGCGAAGGCGACUUUCUGGACGAUGUCUGACGCUGAGGCGCGAAAGCUAGGGGAGCGAACGGGAUUAGAUACCCCGGUAGUCCUAGCCGUAAACGAUGGGUACUAGGUGUAGGGGGUAUCGACCCCUCCUGUGCCGGAGUUAACGCAAUAAGUACCCCGCCUGGGG
Molecule: ribosomal RNA, 890 nt
Filed under: uncultured bacterium
Lineage: Bacteria
Description: bacterial SSU rRNA
Rfam family: Bacterial small subunit ribosomal RNA
Source: RNAcentral